UGCAUAAGGAGAGCAUCACCAAUUUGAAUAUCCAGAAGGGUUACACGUCAAAGUUUCCUACAGGCUAGGACAAAAUGCUGCCAACAUUGAAGAUGUUCCUCGGCAAGAACAUCUCUGAGGGCCAACACAGAAAAGUAAAGGAUCCAAUUCUUAAACUGAUCUGCUGUGAAUGAGCUGAAACCUGACAUAAUUUUGUAUGGGAUUCGUCCCAUAUCGGAUGGAACUAUCAUUCUAUCGACUGAAUCAUAUUAUACUGUGAUUCUUCAAUGAGAUUCCUUUGAAACCAAAUAAUUAUGUUUCAGAAUGUACUUACCACAAAUAUGUUGAGCAUCCUUGAUGGAUGGAAAUAAGGGAGUUUCAACAGAACGGUGUAUCGAUAACCAUAUUCACCCUCAGCUCUCAAAAUAUCCGCUUUAGUGUUACAGGAAAGCAUUUUAGAAGCACUUAGUUGGUGAGAUUCAUAUGUUCGAGGAAUCCAGUGAUCACGAUCAAAACCUGAGUAAUCCAUACAACCAACGGUCCCAGGAAAGGAUUUCAAACAUUUAGAACAUCCGUGGCGAGAAUUGUAAGACUUAAAUCCACACACUUUUUGUUCAGCUGGCAAAUCACAUGACACACAAAGCAAUGCACAACGAAAUUUUUGUUUAAUUGAAGCACCAUGAAUAGGCAACUCCUUUCCCUGCCACAAUAAAGUCAAUUCAUUAACCAAUGGUUCUAAGAAGUUUUCAGAUGGCUCAUGAGGGCCUGGUAUAAUGCCCACGGUGAUCAUAUUUUCACGUUUAAACCGUAAGUGUCGUGGAAGGAUCACCCCAACUGAAUAUUGAACAUGCUUGAUCAUGAAUGGCAAUCAACAUUCAUUAUUAAAGCUAAGUUCCAGGGCUGAGACAGAAAUGGUCCAGAAGCAUGAGUUUGAAAUUCUUUCCAAAUCCUCCCGUCCAUAACAUCAGAUAAAUCAGUUACAGUUUUUGAUCGCCAUUGUUCUCACACUGUGAAUAAAAGUUGGGCCGCAGCAAGAAAGCUUGUAGUUGGACUUCAAGACUAAGGUAGCAGUAACUCAUGACCUCAUGAAAGGGUACAACAUUGUCUUCCCACUGGCAACUUCUACAUGCUUCAAAAGCAAAGCACUACAGGGCAACCGCCUUUGUCUGGGGCAUGGUUUACUUAUUUUCCGUCCUCCUUCAACAUGUACACAAUCGUCAAAAAAGUAGAUAUGAUGGUUCUGUGGUCCAUAUCUCUUCCAUAUCUGUAUUAGAAAAGGUUCAAAGUAAGCCUACAAUCAAUAAUAGCACAAAACAAAAUACCAAUGCUAUUGAAGGACACCAACUGAGUCUCACCUUCAUCAUCACUUUCACAAACGCUCCAAUCGUCUAUUAUGGGGAAAACAAUUAGAUCUACACCGUAAUUUAAUCUAUAGUACCUUCAGGAUCAGAAGACAGGCAAGGUGAUCCCAACGGUUGAUCAUCACUUGAGAUAGUCGAUGCAUGGCGAUUCAGAUCGUUCAUCGCUACUACCUUGAGAUGAUUCAUUUGUAGAUCUGAGGCGUACGGACCAAUUUCUACUGGAGGAGUUGAAGUAGAGGCGCUUAUGAGCUUUAUAUGUCUUAAUCGACACUGAUCUGUCACAAUGUAAGCAAUGCCUUCUGUCUACUCUAACAAUGCGUCUUUGAGAUAGAUCAAUACCGCUAGUAGACCCAGUGCUAUCCGUAUCCAUUCUUAAAAGUAUCUCAGAUAUCUUUUAAAUAAAGCACAUUUAAUUAUUUCUUCUUAAUAACGCUUAUCAUGACGUUGACCAAUCAUUGGGUUCUAGAGCUAGAGCACAUGGCAGUUCCUAGAUUCUUUUUGAGCUAGCUAGCUUCUGGAUCUAAGUACCUAGAUAUAUUCUAUACUCAAUAUAGCAGACUCAAUAGACUAGAAUCUAGGCGGCAGGUGACUUGAAAAGAAAGGUUGUUGUUCUGUAGAAAUAAUGGCAGGAUCGGGAACUGAACUCUUUUCUAGUGAUGAUGAGGUUCUACAAACUUCCUGCAGCAGUUACUCUGAGCCUGGUUCAGAAGAUGAUCGGUCAAAUACACAAUUCAAAAACCUUGAUAUGGCUGAUCUCUUUAAAGCAAAAACCCGGUUACACCCUGUAGGCAAGGUAAGUAGGCUGUGUGAGACAUAUUAAUUGUAAAUGUAGGUUUACAGGGCAGUAUGUCUGACUCUCGAGUCACUAAAAGCAAAAACUCUAACACUAAGGAGAACACUUCUGCUCCUGUCACUCCGUCACUUCGUACUCUCUUGCCUUAUUCACGUGGGAGCAAUGAGAACAUGAAUUGUGACUCGCAUACAAAUGUUUCCGGAGGUUCAGAGGUGGCAGCAGCACUCAAAGAAAUGUCUAACAAGCUUGGGGAACGUGUUGAACGAACUGAAGUAGAGCUGAAGUCACUAAAGAAUUAUGCGUCCAGCACUGGUGAUACGACCAGCACUCCAAAAUCUAAAUGUUCCUCUCGGAUACUUUUGUAUGUAGGCUGAAACUCUACCAAACUAAAUUUCGAUGGUUUCAACAUUGAACCCCCGUGCCGCGUAUACAUACUACAAAACUCUCCGCCAGGAGGCAUCGAUGAAUAGGAGGGGAUUAUCAGAGGUUCGAAAGAAGUAUCCGGAAACUUCAAGAACGCCAAAGUGUAUUUUCUAAACGUACAUACAAUGGGUCAGAUAAGGAGAAGUGGCAGAAGGUUCUGAUAGCAGAAAUGAUGUCCAGCGAAGAUGAUAAAAUUCUCGUCAAAUCACUCCCAUGGCGUUCCAACAAAGUUAGGCGUUUCUUUUAUGCUCUCGACGAUCAACUUUAUUCUGAAAAGUCUGCUCAAGCUAAAAGACAAACUAAAGAGAGAAUUGUUGGUGAUGUAUCUGUACGUACACAACCCAUUAGUGGUGUUCCGACAUGAGCAUUUGAGAAGGACCCAUAGCUAUUAUAGUUAUGCGAACAUCAUUAAUCGUUGUGCUAAAACUGAUCGAUGCCUAAUUAUCGUUCUGUUUCCUUUGUGCUUGUUGGUAUUGUGUUAAUAAUUUAUUUAUGAAACAUGACAUUUAUGGUUACCAAAUUCACUACAUGACAGUUCAUAUGUUCUUUAACUAUCCAGUACAUACGUUUUGGUCAUGAAAGUUCGAAGGAAAUGUGACUGUUAAUGCUAAGGAUUAUUGAUGUGUCUUAUAUGAUUCCUACACCAAAUUGGCUACAUGACAGUUCAAAUGGUCUUUAACUAUCCGGUACAUGGGAUUUAGCUCUAUCCUCUAGCAGAAAAUAUGACAUGAAAUUCCAUAUGUCUUGUUAGCAUGGUGCGUCAAUGACAAGUGACA
Halichondria panicea is the source of this 3332-nucleotide long non-coding RNA. RefSeq lists it as uncharacterized. NCBI's taxonomy places the organism in Eukaryota, Metazoa, Porifera, Demospongiae, Suberitida, Halichondriidae. The transcript is spliced from 4 exons. The record is from RefSeq and is a predicted model, not a curated record.